GGAACGCGUAUCUGCGGUGGAUCAUGGAGGAAGCCGGUGCGAGUCCGGCGCGGUCCCGCCACUGUCACCGAGGAGCGAACUCCGUCGACGGUCACUGUCCCGUCGGGAUGGGAAGACCGGAGCGAGCGAUGAUCCGGGAGCCAGGAGACUCCGACCACCGCCGCACUCUGGAA
This 173-nucleotide non-coding RNA is filed under the name Actinopolyspora erythraea. The record is from RNAcentral. Lineage: Bacteria; Bacillati; Actinomycetota; Actinomycetes; Actinopolysporales; Actinopolysporaceae.